This 524-nucleotide ribosomal RNA is filed under the name uncultured bacterium. Its description in RNAcentral is "bacterial SSU rRNA". It matches the Rfam family "Bacterial small subunit ribosomal RNA", at positions 777 to 1308 of the family's 1533-position model. The record is from RNAcentral.
AAUAGAUACCCAGGUAGUCCACGCCGUAAACGAUGGAUACUAGCUGUUGGGGGGCAACUUCAGUGGCUAAGCGAAAGUGAUAAGUAUCCCACCUGGGGAGUACGAACGCAAGUUUGAAACUCAAAGGAAUUGACGGGGGGCCCGCACAAGCGGUGGAGCAUGUGGUUUAAUUCGAUGAUACGCGAGGAACCUUACCAAGGCUUAAAUGCAGACUGACCGAUUUGGAAACAGAUCUUUCGCAAGACAGUUUACAAGGUGCUGCAUGGUUGUCGUCAGCUCGUGCCGUGAGGUGUCAGGUUAAGUCCUAUAACGAGCGCAACCCCUGUUGUUAGUUGCCAGCGAGUCAUGUCGGGAACUCUAACAAGACUGCCAGUGCAAACUGUGAGGAAGGUGGGGAUGACGUCAAAUCAUCACGGCCCUUACGCCUUGGGCUACACACGUGCUACAAUGCCGGUACAGAGAGCAGCCACCUCGCGAGGGGGAGCGAAUCUAUAAAGCCGGUCACAGUUCGGAUCGGAGUCUGC